GUUUUUUUUUUUUUUUUUUUUUUUUUUUUCCUCUGGCGCUUGUGAUCAUUGGAAAGUC
This 58-nucleotide non-coding RNA is filed under the name Prorocentrum micans. Lineage: Eukaryota; Dinophyceae; Prorocentrales; Prorocentraceae. The record is from RNAcentral.